This 769-nucleotide ribosomal RNA is filed under the name uncultured bacterium. RNAcentral's name for it is "bacterial SSU rRNA". It matches the Rfam family "Bacterial small subunit ribosomal RNA", at positions 62 to 825 of the family's 1533-position model. The record is from RNAcentral.
UCGAGCGGCAGCGCGGGGCAACCUGGCGGCGAGCGGCGAACGGGUGAGUAAUGCAUCGGAACAUGUCCAUGUCGUGGGGGAUAGCCCGGCGAAAGCCGGAUUAAUACCGCAUACGCCCGAGAGGGGAAAGUGGGGGACUCGCAAGGGCCUCACGCGAUUGGGUUGGCCGAUGUCCGAUUAGCUAGUUGGCGGGGUAAGAGCCCACCAAGGCGAUGAUCGGUAGCUGGUCUGAGAGGAUGAUCAGCCACACUGGGACUGAGACACGGCCCAGACUCCUACGGGAGGCAGCAGUGGGGAAUUUUGGACAAUGGGGGCAACCCUGAUCCAGCCAUUCCGCGUGAGUGAAGAAGGCCUUCGGGUUGUAAAGCUCUUUUGUCCGGAACGAAACGGUGCAGGUGAAUAUCCUGCGCUACUGACGGUACCGGAGGAAUAAGCACCGGCUAACUACGUGCCAGCAGCCGCGGUAAUACGUAGGGUGCGAGCGUUAAUCGGAAUUACUGGGCGUAAAGCGUGCGCAGGCGGUUUUGUAAGCCAGAUGUGAAAUCCCCGGGCUUAACCUGGGAAUGGCAUUUGGGACUGCAAGGCUGGAGUGCGGCAGAGGAGACUGGAAUUCCUGGUGUAGCAGUGAAAUGCGUAGAUAUCAGGAGGAAUACCGAUGGCGAAGGCAGGUCUCUGGGCUGACACUGACGCUCAUGCACGAAAGCGUGGGGAGCAAACAGGAUUAGAUACCCUGGUAGUCCACGCCCUAAACGAUGUCGACUGGUUGUUG